CAGUCGCCGCGGUAAUACGUAGGUGGCGAGCGUUGUCCGGAAUCAUUGGGCGUAAAGGGAGCGCAGGCGGGCAUGUAAGUCUUUCUUAAAAGUUCGGGGCUCAACCCCGUGAUGGGAAAGAAACUACAUGUCUUGAGUACAGGAGAGGAAAGCGGAAUUCCCAGUGUAGCGGUGAAAUGCGUAGAUAUUGGGAGGAACACCAGUGGCGAAGGCGGCUCUCUGGACUGCAACUGACGCUGAGGCUCGAAAGCCAGGGGAGCGAACGGGAUUAGAUACCCCAGUAGUCCCUGUCUCUUAUACA
This 301-nucleotide ribosomal RNA is filed under the name uncultured bacterium. RNAcentral describes it as "partial 16S ribosomal RNA". It matches the Rfam family "Bacterial small subunit ribosomal RNA", at positions 509 to 809 of the family's 1533-position model. The record is from RNAcentral.